GACGAACGCUGGCGGCGUGCCUAAUACAUGCAAGUUGAGCGAUGAAGCUUGGUGCUUGCACCAAUUUGAAGAGCAGCGAACGGGUGAGUAACGCGUGGGGAAUCUGCCUUUGAGCGGGGGACAACAUUGGGAAACGAAUGCUAAUACCGCAUAACAACUUUAAACAUAAGUUUUAAGUGUGAAAGAUGCAAUUGCAUCACUCAAAGAUGAUCCCGCGUUGUAUUAGCUAGUUGGUGAGGUAAAGGCUCACCAAGGCGAUGAUACAUAGCCGACCUGAGAGGGUGCUCGGCCCCAUUGGGACUGGGACCCGGCCCAAACUCCUACGGGAGGCAGCAGUAGGGAAUCUUCGGCAAUGGACGAAAGUCUGACCGAGCAACGCCGCGUGAGUGAAGAAGGUUUUCGGAUCGUAAAACUCUGUUGGUAGGGAAGAACGUUGGUGAGAGUGGAAAGCUCAUCAAGUGACGGUAACUACCCAGAAAGGGACGGCUAACUACGUG
RNAcentral lists this ribosomal RNA (497 nucleotides) under uncultured bacterium. Its description in RNAcentral is "partial 16S ribosomal RNA". It matches the Rfam family "Bacterial small subunit ribosomal RNA", at positions 28 to 507 of the family's 1533-position model. The record is from RNAcentral.